CUUGCUUUUCUUGGAGACAGCCUGUGGAGUCACCCACCAUGCUGGUGGAGCACAAUCGCCACACUGCCAGGCCUGGCAGACACUGCCCCCUGCAGAGCGCCGCGUGGGCAUGCCGUGCUGCUGUGUGGGGCCAGAGUAGGACAGGCCCUCCGCUCUGGCUGGUAAUGCCCCACUCCCGAGCCUCCCCACCCUGUGGGAUGAGCUUUAUUCCCCUCAGCUGUGGUGAGGGCCCCACCAGGCUCUCCAAGGGGCUGUUUGUUGCCCCUGGUAAGUGAAAGGAUUAUCCUCAGUGUUGAUUGUCCAUUUUUGUAAUCCUCCUGCCGUUCUGUUCUGUUGUGUGCUGUGCAACAUUUUGCUACAUAGACUAUUUUAUAGCAGAAAGCUAGAAAAAAUAUUUAUUAUGACUACUAAAGCAAUAGUGUAUCAAUGAAUGGGCGGAGACAUUAGGAAUUGUGUAAAUGCUUAGAUUCACUUUGGGUGGAUUUUUUUGUACUUUAUUUAUAACUAAUAAAAAUGAACUGCAUUGCUAACUACA
Molecule: long non-coding RNA, 535 nt
Filed under: Rattus norvegicus (Norway rat)
Lineage: Eukaryota; Metazoa; Chordata; Mammalia; Rodentia; Muridae
Description: long non-coding RNA NONRATT013946
Source: RNAcentral